This 687-nucleotide ribosomal RNA is filed under the name uncultured bacterium. RNAcentral describes it as "bacterial SSU rRNA". It matches the Rfam family "Bacterial small subunit ribosomal RNA", at positions 397 to 1076 of the family's 1533-position model. The record is from RNAcentral.
CCGCGUGAGCGAGGACGGCCUUCGGGUUGUAAGCUCUGUCAUGUGGGAAGAACGGCUAAGGGAGGGAAUGCCCUUAGCGUGACGGUACCACAGGAGGAAGCCCCGGCUAACUACGUGCCAGCAGCCGCGGUAAUACGUAGGGGGCAAGCGUUGUCCGGAAUGAUUGGGCGUAAAGGGCGCGCAGGCGGUCUCUUAAGUCUGAUGUGAAAGGCCACGGCUCAACCGUGGGAUGGCAUUGGAAACUGGGGGACUUGCGUUCAGGAGAGGAGAGCGGAAUUCCCGGUGUAGCGGUGAAAUGCGUAGAGAUCGGGAAGAACACCAGUGGCGAAGGCGGCUCUCUGGCCUGACACGGACGCUGAGGCGCGAAAGCGUGGGGAGCGAACAGGAUUAGAUACCCUGGUAGUCCACGCCGUAAACGAUGAGUGCUAGGUGUUAGGGGUUUCAAUACCCUUAGUGCCGCAGUUAACACAUUAAGCACUCCGCCUGGGGAGUACGGCCGCAAGGCUGAAACUCAAAGGAAUUGACGGGGGCCCGCACAAGCGGUGGAGCAUGUGGUUUAAUUCGAAGCAACGCGAAGCACCUUACCAGGGCUUGACAUCCUCUGCUAGCUCUAGAGAUAGAGCGUUCCCUUUUGGGACAGAGUGACAGGUGGUGCAUGGUUGUCGUCAGCUCGUGUCGUGAGAUGUU